This 18-nucleotide unclassified non-coding RNA is filed under the name Dictyostelium discoideum. Lineage: Eukaryota; Evosea; Eumycetozoa; Dictyosteliales; Dictyosteliaceae. The record is from RNAcentral.
GAAGAUCAACUCGAUUAU